AAUUCGCCCUUAGAGUUUGAUCAUGGCUCAGAUUGAACGCUGGCGGCAUGCCUUACACAUGCAAGUCGAACGGUAACGCGGGGCAGCCUGGCGACGAGUGGCGAACGGGUGAGUAAUAUAUCGGAACGUGCCCAGUCGUGGGGGAUAACUGCUCGAAAGAGCAGCUAAUACCGCAUACGACCUGAGGGUGAAAGCGGGGGAUCUUCGGACCUCGCGCGAUUGGAGCGGCCGAUAUCAGAUUAGGUAGUUGGUGGGGUAAAGGCCUACCAAGCCGACGAUCUGUAGCUGGUCUGAGAGGACGACCAGCCACACUGGGACUGAGACACGGCCCAGACUCCUACGGGAGGCAGCAGUGGGGAAUUUUGGACAAUGGGGGCAACCCUGAUCCAGCCAUGCCGCGUGCGGGAAGAAGGCCUUCGGGUUGUAAACCGCUUUUGUCAGGGAAGAAAUCCUUUGGGCUAAUAACUCGGAGGGA
This 475-nucleotide ribosomal RNA is filed under the name uncultured bacterium. RNAcentral describes it as "bacterial SSU rRNA". It matches the Rfam family "Bacterial small subunit ribosomal RNA", at positions 1 to 476 of the family's 1533-position model. The record is from RNAcentral.